This is a long non-coding RNA of Canis lupus familiaris (dog), 3426 nucleotides long. RefSeq lists it as uncharacterized. The record is from RefSeq and is a predicted model, not a curated record. NCBI's taxonomy places the organism in Eukaryota, Metazoa, Chordata, Mammalia, Carnivora, Canidae. The transcript is spliced from 3 exons.
UUUUUUCUUUUUCUUUUUUUUUUUUUUUUUUUUUUUGGCCACUUUUCUACUCUCUUGAUCAUUUCAAUACCAACAGGAGAGUAGGAGAGGCAAGAAGAGAUGCUAUCAUAAUCCCCCUGUUUUUUCUAGUGGUAUUUAUAAGAGGCUUUAGGGGAAAGAGCUGCAUAUACCACAGCUGAAAUCAGGGCUUUGAAUACCCCCCUCCCCUCUUCCUCUCCUCUCUCCUCUCUCCUCUCUCCUCUCCUCCUCUCCCCUCUCCUCUCCUCUCCUCUCCCCUCUCCUCCUCUCUUUUCUCUCCUCUCUCUCCCCUCUCCUCUCCUCUCUCCUCCUUCCCUCUCUUCUCCUCUCCCUUCUCCCCUCUCCACAGACAUUCAAUUCAAGGCAACGACUAUAGCCACCAUCUAUUAUUUCCCAAACAAGAGUGUUAGGCAUUUUGAGAACUACGAGAGGACUAAGGGUCUGAGCCCUGCUCUCAGCGGGGGUUCUCAUCUCUUGAGGGGUGCGAGCUCUGCAUACGUGAAACAAUUAUGAACCCUGAAGGUGGUAAGUCGUUAGCCAACGUUCCAAUAAGUAGAAGGAACGUAUUCUAGAAACCCUGUUCUCCAGCCAUGUCACCUUCCUCAGCCCCGGCUACAGCAGUCUGACAAGCAGCCCAUAGUUUUGUCCCCCCCCCCCCGCCCCGUGACAUACUUAGCUGGCACCAGGAGUGGCAAUUGCACGAGGUGCCAAAGUGGAGGUGCAGAUGAGCACCCCCCCACCGUGUUUUACUGGCAGAGAUGCUCUGAGGGCCCGAGAGUCCAGCUGCCGAAGGAACGACCUUGCUUUCGGGCUCCGAAGCCCUGCUCCCUGGGGGCCCGUCAGGCGGAGUUCUCUACCACAGUGGGUGACCCUUGUCGGCCCUCUGUGACAGUCUCCGGUGACCCCCAGGCGCUGGGAGAGACAGCAAGAACUAGAAAACCAGUUUCGCGGAGGCACGCAGGCGGUGUUUUUGGACAAUCCCGUAUGAUGAUAGCAACCUCGUGUAUGGGGAGGGCCUCGGGGUCUCUCUUGUGUCUCUUCGGAAUCAGAAAACCUUGAUUGUCACCACGGUGACAAAUGACGCCCUGUGACGUGUGCGUGUGUGGAGAAGGCUUGCAACCACAGGACCCCCUUGCCCCUUGGGGACACACAAUCCGCUGUAGUUAACGAGCUUCGGAGGCAUCUGAAAGACCAGCUCCUCGCGAGACAGUGAAGGGAGCGUUUCCUCCACUCCUUGGAGGUACAGUUCCUCCGAGUUUCUUACCUGCGACUUGGAUGGGGACAGAAGUCCCUAGGCAAAGGCCGGGAGCACCCGGGCAGGCGGCUGUCUCGUUUGGAAAGGGAAGCUGGUUGAUACCCACAGAGGUUUCCCAUAAAGUGUCCUAUUGGGACCCAGACAUGAGAUGUUCCGUGUCCCAGUGCGGUACCCACAGCUGAGCUGGUGUUGUGACUUCCAGGACACACCACCUGUUUAUGGCAGUCCCUGCUGCUCACCUGUCUCGGUUAUGAAAACGAGGAGGCCCUGCCCCCCAGGAGUGAAGGAAACAGGGGCCUCCUGCCCCAUCUGCCACCACUGAGCCACGUCGCCUAGGCAAGCCACCAAAACUCUUUGAACCUCACUUUGUUCUCAAGUAAAAUGAGGCAUACAGGUUACGUGCUAACUCCCUCCUAAACUCUAAAGUUAAAUUAUCCUAGGACUUAUAUAGUCAGGGGAAAAUGGAUGUUUCUGAGAGCAGGGCUUCCCAGAGAAUGCUCCAGAAGGCCAGAGGAGGAGUCCCUGCUCAGAAACAUGUGGGGAGUGCUAGGUUUACUGAUGUAGGACUUCUCGGAACCUUUCUUGAGUAUCCUUUUUUGAUUAUCUUUAUUUAUUUAUUUUAUAGGAUCUUUUAACUUACAACAUAUGACGUGCUCCUUGUAAAUAGAAAACUCAUAGGUUUAUAAAAUAAAUAUCGAUAAUCUCACCUUCUCUUCUCCAGACCCAUCCCAGUGGUAGCAGACACAAGGUUUUGUAGGCCUGUGCAUCCUUGGAAAGCUGUUCUAGAUCAUGACUCCUGAGGAGGAGGAUAGAGCAAGAAUGUGUCUCAGACGGACCCUUUUUCACUGAACACCUCACAGGCCUCUGCCUGGUGGGAACACUGUUCUGUUCUACAUACUGAGGGAAAUCUUGAACCAGAGUGCAGAACAGCUCUUGACUGAGUAGAAUUCUUUUACCAAAAUGAUAAGGAGCCUACACAGGUCAGAGGCCACAGAUGUACCACUAUUCAGUGUCCAGGUCACAGGAUGUUUUCACUCUCGAUAAGAUUUCGGAGAAUCUCUUUAAUCACCUACAAACCUUAAGUAGCUUCUCUGCAGGAGGCUUCUAGAACCCCAUUAGGGUUCCUGCCAGCUUGGGCUGAUACCUCACCUGUGUGUCCCCAGAGUCAUCAUGAGGAUGGUGAAGAUGAGGUGACCCUAAAUCAUCCCUGCCCCCCAGAAAAGGCUGGCAUAGGAUGACACUAUUACCUGUAUGACCCUGGUUCCAGCAAGAGCCCAGUUGAACUUGUAGAUGAAUAAAAUGAGACAAAAGGUGACACUGUAAUAAUCUAAGACCCAACACCUGGAUCAGGUCAUGGUCUGAUCCCGUGUUCUGCCUCAUAUGUACCAAAUACGUUUUCACGGACACUGUUUUAUUUAAUCCGCAUAAAAACGACUUUGUGAAUUCAGCAGUAUUAUCCCCAUAUUGCUGAGUUCACGUCUGCAAGGAAUGCAAAACCUUGACUCAGUAACCUUCUGACUGGAAGCCAAGUGGUCUUUUCCUUGUAAUCACAGUGGUCUCUCUAAUUUUUUUCCUUCAAGUUCCACAGCCUAGUCCUUAGGGACUGAGGGAAUGAGCAUGAUGGAGUGCAGAGGUGACCGGAUGCAGGUGGCACCCCUGGGAUCUGGUCCAGAUUGCAGAGUAACUGUGUGGCUUGGGGCCUAAAUGAUCUCUAAUGGGUUCCCUCUAUCAACUUUCUUCUUCACAUCGUCUGUUUGACCAGCAGUAACAACAAAACCCCUUACAAUAAAAUCCAGGUAAAAGCAGUUUUUAAGCAAUGUCUAGGACUGUAUUUAACCCAAACUAUAAAACACCUGCCCUGGCCCAUCCUUCUGAAGACUCACAAGUCGUGUCGUCCACACUUGGACUUGCAUGACUUGUGAAGUUCAAAUGGCUUUCAAAAUGCACUCAACUCUGCGUAGUGAAACCAAGGUUGGGAAGGACACAUGGAGAAAAUUCUCAAUAUCCAAGGUUAAGCUGACAGAUUGUUUGUAUCAAAGCAGCACACAGGGCUCCAUUCCAGAAUAGCACAAACUCUGCAUUCCGGUAUAUUGUCCAAUUGGUGUAAACCAGGUGAAAUUACACACCAAGACCCUUUAUAAACUUCAAUGCAA